RNAcentral lists this ribosomal RNA (506 nucleotides) under uncultured bacterium. RNAcentral's name for it is "partial 16S ribosomal RNA". It matches the Rfam family "Bacterial small subunit ribosomal RNA", at positions 28 to 523 of the family's 1533-position model. The record is from RNAcentral.
GAUGAACGCUAGCUACAGGCUUAACACAUGCAAGUCGAGGGGUAACAAGAGAAAAGCUUGCUUUUCUUGUUGACGACCGGCGCACGGGUGAGUAACGCGUAUCCAACCUGCCUAUAACUAGGGAAUAACCUUGCGAAAGUAAGACUAAUACCCUAUGAUUUCCUUUGAUGACAUCAGAUUAGGAAUAAAGAUUUAUCGGUUAUAGAUGGGGAUGCGUCUGAUUAGCUUGUUGGCGGGGUAACGGCCCACCAAGGCAACGAUCAGUAGGGGUUCUGAGAGGAAGGUCCCCCACAUUGGAACUGAGACACGGUCCAAACUCCUACGGGAGGCAGCAGUGAGGAAUAUUGGUCAAUGGGCGGAAGCCUGAACCAGCCAAGUAGCGUGCAGGAUGACGGCCCUAUGGGUUGUAAACUGCUUUUAUACAGGAAUAAAGUUAGCCACGUGUGGUUAUUUGUAGGUACUGUAUGAAUAAGGACCGGCUAAUUCCGUGCCAGCAGCAGCCGCCG